Molecule: ribosomal RNA, 253 nt
Filed under: uncultured bacterium
Lineage: Bacteria
Description: partial 16S ribosomal RNA
Rfam family: Bacterial small subunit ribosomal RNA
Source: RNAcentral
UACGGAAGGGGCAAGCGUUGUUCGGAAUCAUUGGGCGUAAAGGGCGCGUAGGUGGCUCUGUGUGUCCACCGUGAAAGCGUACGGCUCAACCGUAUUUUGUCGGUAGAAACUGCAGGACUUGAGGCUGGGAGGGGCUGGUGGAAUUCCCUGUGUAGCGGUGAAAUGCGUAGAGAUGGGGGAGAACACUCGUGGCGAAGGCGGCCAGCUAGACCAGUUCUGACACUGAGGCGCGACAGCGUGGGGAGCAAACAGG